AAGGCCAAUCAAACUCGGAUAUAGCUGGUUCUCCGCGAAAUCUAUUUAGGUAGAGCGUCGCACGAAUACUCUCGGGGGUAGAGCACUGGAUGGGCUAGGGGGCCUCACCGCUUACCAAACCUAACCAAACUCCGAAUACCGAGAAGUACUAUGCGGCAGACACACUACGGGUGCUAAGGUCCGUAGUGGAAAGGGAAACAGCCCGGACCGCCAUCUAAGGUCCCCAAGUUAUGACUAAGUGGGAAAGGAAGUGGGACGGCCAAAACAACCAGGAGGUUGGCUUAGAAGCAGCCAUCCUUUAAAGAUAGCGUAACAGCUCACUGGUCUAAAUAAGCUAUCCUGCGCCGAAAAUGUAACGGGGCUAAAGUCAUACACCGAAGAUGCGGGUGUGCUAGCUUGCUAGCACGCGGUAGCGGAGCGUUCCGUAAGCCUGUGAAGGCGUGACGCGAGUCACGCUGGAGGUAUCGGAAGUGAGAAUGCUGACAUGAGUAACGAUAAGGAGAGUGAGAAACUCUCCCGCCGAAAGUCCAAGGGUUCCUGCACAAUGUUAAUCAGAGCAGGGUUAGCCGGCCCCUAAGGCGAGGGCGAAAGCCGUAGUCGAUGGGAACGGGGUUAAUAUUCCCCGGCCAGUGGGACGUGACGAAUUGCGUAAGUUGUUCCUCCUUAUUGGAUUGGAGGGGCCGCGAAGCAGUUCCAGGAAAUAGCGCCCACAUGAGACCGUACCCUAAACCGACACAGGUGGACUGGUAGAGUAUACCAAGGCGCUUGAGAGAACGAUGCUGAAGGAACUCGGCAAAAUGCCUCCGUAACUUCGGGAGAAGGAGGCCCACCCUCGAGGCAACUCUUGGGUGGGGGCACAGACCAGGGGGUAGCGACUGUUUAUUAAAAACACAGGGCUCUGCGAAGUCGCAAGACGACGUAUAGGGUCUGACGCCUGCCCGGUGCCGGAAGGUUAAGAGGAGAGGUGCAAGCUUUGAAUCGAAGCCCCGGUAAACGGCGGCCGUAACUAUAACGGUCCUAAGGUAGCGAAAUUCCUUGUCGGGUAAGUUCCGACCUGCACGAAUGGCGUAACGACUUCCCCGCUGUCUCCAGCAUCGACUCAGUGAAAUUGAACUCCCCGUGAAGAUGCGGGGUUCCUGCGGUUAGACGGAAAGACCCCGUGCACCUUUACUAUAGCUUUGCAGUGGCAUUAGUGGCGGCAUGUGUAGAAUAGGUGGUAGGCUUUGAAGCGGGGGCGCCAGUUCCCGUGGAGCCGCAAUGUGAAAUACCACCCUUAUCUUCAUUGAUGUCUAACCGCGGACCGUUAUCCGGUUCCGGGACCCUGCAUGGUGGGUAGUUUGACUGGGGCGGUCGCCUCCCAAAGAGUAACGGAGGCGCGCGAAGGUAGGCUCAGGCCGGUCGGAAAUCGGUCGUUGAGUGCAAUGGCAAAAGCCUGCCUGACUGCGAGUCUGACAAGACGAGCAGAGACGAAAGUCGGUCAUAGUGAUCCGGUGGUCCCGCGUGGAAGGGCCAUCGCUCAACGGAUAAAAGGUACGCCGGGGAUAACAGGCUGAUGACGCCCAAGAGUCCAUAUCGACGGCGUUGUUUGGCACCUCGAUGUCGGCUCAUCGCAUCCUGGGGCUGGAGCAGGUCCCAAGGGUUUGGCUGUUCGCCAAUUAAAGCGGUACGUGAGCUGGGUUUAGAACGUCGUGAGACAGUUUGGUCCCUAUCUGCCGUGGGUGUAGGAAACUUGAGAGGAGCUGUCCCUAGUACGAGAGGACCGGGAUGGACAUACCUCUGGUCGAGCUGUUGUCGCGCCUGCGGCAUUGCAGCGUAGCUAAGUAUGGACAGGAUAACCGCUGAAAGCAUCUAAGCGGGAAGCCCCCCUCGAAACAAGGUUUCCCUUGAGAACCGUGGAAGACGACCACGUUGAUAGGCCGGAUGUGGAAGCGCAGCAAUGCGUGAAGCUGACCGGUACUAAUUGUUCGAUAGGCUUGAUU
Molecule: ribosomal RNA, 1979 nt
Filed under: marine metagenome
Description: bacterial LSU rRNA
Rfam family: Bacterial large subunit ribosomal RNA
Source: RNAcentral